GACGAACCGUGCGAACGUUGUUCGGAAUCACUGGGCUUAAAGGGCGCGUAGGCGGGCAGCCAAGUCCGGGGUGAAAUCCUUCGGCUUAACCGGAGAAUUGCCUGGGAUACUGGCUGUCUUGAGGGAGGUAGGGGCACGCGGAACUUCCGGUGGAGCGGUGAAAUGCGUAGAGAUCGGAAAGAACACCAACGGCGAAAGCACUCUGCUGGGCCGACACUGACACUGAGAGACGAAAGCUAGGGGAGCGAAUGGG
Molecule: ribosomal RNA, 253 nt
Filed under: uncultured bacterium
Lineage: Bacteria
Description: partial 16S ribosomal RNA
Rfam family: Bacterial small subunit ribosomal RNA
Source: RNAcentral